This 444-nucleotide ribosomal RNA is filed under the name uncultured bacterium. RNAcentral's name for it is "bacterial SSU rRNA". It matches the Rfam family "Bacterial small subunit ribosomal RNA", at positions 331 to 792 of the family's 1533-position model. The record is from RNAcentral.
CCAGACUCCUACGGGAGGCAGCAGUAGGGAAUUUUGCGCAAUGGGCGAAAGCCUGACGCAGCAACGCCGCGUGAUCGAGACGCCCUUCGGGGUGUAAAGAUCUGUCAGUGGGGACGAAACUUGACGGUACCCACAGAGGAAGCCUCGGCUAACUACGUGCCAGCAGCCGCGGUAAUACGUAGGAGGCAAGCGUUAUCCGGAAUGACUGGGCGUAAAGGGUGCGUAGGUGGUUCAGCAAGUUAGUAGCGUAACUCCGGAGCUCAACUUCGGCACUACUACUAAAACUGUUGGACUUGAGUGCAGGAGGGGCAACUGGAAUUCCUAGUGUAGCGGUGGAAUGCGUAGAUAUUAGGAAGAACACCGGUGGCGAAGGCGAGUUGCUGGACUGUAACUGACACUGAGGCACGAAAGCGUGGGGAGCAAACAGGAUUAGAUACCCGGGUA